AUGUUCAAGCUCUGCAACUUGAAGCCAGCUUUGUCAACCACCUUUCCCUUGCCAGAUUUUAGCGACAAAGAGAUGUGUGAGAAGAUCAACUUUGCCGUUGAUCAGAGCCCGUUCUUAUCAAGUGACGCUGAAAAGAAUCAAAUUGACAUGGAGGAAGCAGGAAAGGGAGAUGCCCUGGGCCUUGAACCCAUACGUAGAUCAAACUCUUGUAGCUAUCAUGGUGACGGGUUCUGCGAUGCACCAUCUUUUGACCUCGGCAUAGAUGGUGAUGCUCCAGCACCUGCUCCACUAGCAGAAACAGCGGAAGCCGGUGUGGUUGCCAUAGAUGAGGGUGAGUUGGACCCAACACCUGUGAAUGAAGGAUGCGCUGCUGCUGAUGCUGGCAAGGCAAUAGCUCAAGAGCUACAUGUUGAAUCACAAGACAAUUGCCACACCGCGAUAUGCACAGAACCAGAAGUUGGCACGAGCAGUUCUUCAGGACCACCUGUUGCACGAAGACAGAGGAGGGUAAUAAGGACCGCAGCAUCUCAAAGGUCUCCAUUCAUUGACUACAACAAGAAGAAGACGCUCAGCUCCAAUGAGGUAGUCAACAAGCUUUACGCUGCCCUCAUGUAUUGGGUCAGGCAUCACCCAGGAGAAAAUGAUGAGCUUACCAGCCCUGAGAUAAUCAGGUAUGGUGCUUUCUACAUUUUUUUAAAUGAGUUAGUUGAUUCGAUGAAGAUGGUUCAAUGGCUGUCAAGAAUUGUUAUUGAGACUGGAAUCUUAUACAUCAUGAAUAACUUACCAGAAGGGUCAAAGAAGGUCGUUAUGCCACUGAGGUUUUCUACCAAUUUACAACAAGGGAUCCACAAUGUGAAUGAGAUAAACAAGAAGUUUGAUUACAAGAACCGUCUCGACAAGCAAGACUUGGUCAUGCUGCCAGUGCUCGAGUGCGCUGAUGUAACCGAUAAGGAGGGAGGGAGGCAUUAUUGGGUCUUCAAUGUCAACUUGAGGGACGGACGCUUCGAAGUCUUGAUUCAAGCAGGACGCUGGACAACAUUGAGCUGA
This 1047-nucleotide ribosomal RNA is filed under the name Triticum aestivum (bread wheat). Its description in RNAcentral is "partial small subunit ribosomal RNA". The record is from RNAcentral. Lineage: Eukaryota; Viridiplantae; Streptophyta; Magnoliopsida; Poales; Poaceae.